GAUGAACGCUAGCGAUAGGCUUAACACAUGCAAGUCGAGGGGCAGCAUGGUCUUAGCUUGCUAAGGCUGAUGGCGACCGGCGCACGGGUGCGUAACGCGUAUGCAACUUGCCUCACAGAGGGGGAUAACCCGUCGAAAGACGGACUAAUACCGCGUACACUCUAUGUUGGGCAUCCAAUGUAGAGGAAAUGAAAUUCGCUGUGAGAUAGGCAUGCGUCCCAUUAGCUAGCUGGUGAGGUAACGGCUCACCAAGGCGACGAUGGGUAGGGGAACUGAGAGGUUGAACCCCCACACUGGUACUGAGACACGGACCAGACUCCUACGGGAGGCAGCAGUGAGGAAUAUUGGUCAAUGGGCGAGAGCCUGAACCAGCCAAGUCGCGUGAAGGAUGACUGUCUUAUGGAUUGUAAACUUCUUUUAUACGGGAAUAACAAGAGUCACGUGUGGCUCCCUGCAUGUACCGUAUGAAUAAGCAUCGGCUAACUCCGUG
This 490-nucleotide ribosomal RNA is filed under the name uncultured bacterium. RNAcentral describes it as "partial 16S ribosomal RNA". It matches the Rfam family "Bacterial small subunit ribosomal RNA", at positions 28 to 507 of the family's 1533-position model. The record is from RNAcentral.